Molecule: non-coding RNA, 203 nt
Organism: Cinara cedri
Lineage: Eukaryota; Metazoa; Arthropoda; Insecta; Hemiptera; Aphididae
Source: the annotation of a GenBank genome assembly
UCAAUAUCGAUAAAGUGUGUUCCUGUCUGAUGUAGAUUUAAACUUUGUAACUUGACAAUCAAGUGUAGUAUGUUGAAUGACGGAAGGUCCGUUAGUUUUCUUAAAUUCCGAUUCAUGACAUCUGUUAUAAAUAUUAUGGCCUGCCUUUUUUUCGUCAAUAAAAUCAAGAGUGACAAUUGAUUUCAACUUGAAGUGGACAGAAC